GGUACAUAUGUCAUAACUGACUUAACCACUAUCCUUUGGUUGAAUUGUUUUCUUUUCUUUGCUUUUCUCCCCCAAUAUUAUAUGCCCCAGCCUCGAAGGGAGAUGACAUAACCUGGGCUACUACAACAUGGAAUUCUGGGAGUGAGACCCUGUGAAGCCAAAUUAAAGGUUGCUAAGGAAACAUGGCAACAGCACUCACGUGAUCUCCCUGCUCUAGAGAGAAUCUGGCCCAGCACAGUCACUAAGUCAGGAGGAGGGAAGCAAACUUGAGAUAGAUCCCAGGCAGUAAUUCGUGUUCAAAGGGAAAUAAAACUCUAAGGAAAAGGACUGAGGUCAUGGCAUUAGAAGAAGAAACGGAGGAGUCAUUUGAAAGAUAUCCAGAUCUUUCAGAAAUGGUGAGAAGGAACAAGAAAAUACUUCAGAAUAUUUUGCUGAGAAAUUUGCCUCACAAUUUGGGAGUAACGUCCAAGACCUAAGGAGAUAAGAAGUAUCUCAGGCCAAAAAAAAAAAAAAAGGCAAAUAAGCAAAUACCAUCUUCCUUUCCUCAACCUGGCCAGGAUAGAUUGACUAAGAUGUUGCCCGACAGGAUUGCCAAGCUUCGUGUUUCUCUCCGGGCACUUUUGCACAUGGUCUUAACACAGGAUAGGAACAUUUCAGAACUUGAUUCAUCAAUGCAUCUACUAUGUAUGUGCCAACCGCUCCACUGGGUGCCAGAAAUACAAGGAAGAGAAUCAUAGCCUGUUCUCAAGGAAAUAAUAUCUCCAGCAUCAUCAUUAUCAUUAUAAUAGCAAGUUCUUGUCAUUAUUAAACAUAUUUCUAUGUGAAUGUAAUUUUUAGAAAAAUGAUUCCACAUUGAAAAAUGAUUUUCCUACAAAUAAACUGAGGUAUUUCCUCCUGAGUUUUCA
This 905-nucleotide long non-coding RNA is filed under the name Vulpes vulpes (red fox). RNAcentral describes it as "lncRNA (ENSVVUG00000009987.1)". The record is from RNAcentral. Lineage: Eukaryota; Metazoa; Chordata; Mammalia; Carnivora; Canidae.